AGACGGCGUCGCCAGCUGCCCAGGCAGUUCCUAUCCCUUUCGGAGCUCCAGCCUGCCCCUCCUGACGCUCUCAGAGUCUGGCCUUCUGCUGGGCCCCGGGUCUCUCACUGGCAGAAUGGAGUUCUCGGAGCUGAUCCAUACGGGCUGAGCCCAAGCAGAGUUUCUACGGGGCCCGGAGGCGCCCCCGCUUCGCGGCACGGUGUGAGUCACCGUCCACCACCUGCUCCUGUCGCCAGGGCCCGCGUCCUCUCCGGACCUGUGGCUGCUGCUGUUGCGUAGCGUCGACUCCUUCGAGAAGCAGUGAGACGUGGCGGGGUGGGGGAGGGUCCCCGGGGUUGGGGAGCGCGCGGCUUGGCGGAGUAGGGGGCACGGCCAGCGCAGUCAGAGCUGGCGCCCUCCUGCGUAAGCCCAAUCCGGGAAACUCGUUGCCCCUCUCCUGGGAAAGGAACGUCCCUCCCCAGGGUUGCGAGUGACUCGGGCACCAUCACCCUGUGCUGUAAAGACCUGCGAGUGCUGCAGCUGGAAAUAGAGGGCGCGGAAGCGACGCUGGGCAUCGCCCGCUCCAUCGAGACCAACGCGUGGCGGCUGAGCGAGGGUCCCAAACCACUUUGGCCACAACACCCCCAGACUGGUCCGAAGCCUCGUGAGUUCGCCCUGGUCGUUGCACUCCAGCCUGUCGCUGUGCAGACCUGGCUUAGAGGACCCCUAAGGCUGAGGGGUCACUUCCAGAACUGAGUCCGGUCCGCAGGUUCUGCUACGCUCCAGCCAGCCCCUAACUGGUCCCCAGAAGCGGCGCUGCUACAGGGACCAGGAGCUGCUGCGAACUGCGCUGGCGGGGGCUCGUCCUUGGGCGCGGGGCUUCAUCAUGGACACGCUCUCGGCCCAGGCCGCGAAACAAGCCCGCGUGACUGGCGGAGGCACAGAGACCAAGGCCGCUUAACCUGGCUGGUUGCACUGGUCCCUGGAGAGCACUGAGCACAGGGGCUGCCACAGUGGCCGGCUCAGACAUGGCAGAGAUCAGCAGAGAAUGGGCAAUCAGGCUCCCCUGAGAUGAGCAGCAGCGCAGAGGAGGUGCCCCUCUCUUACUACACCAACUUCAGAGGGCGUCCCCUGCAGGAGAGCUUCAUGCGCCUGGUGGAGGCCUGUGGGGACUCGGAGCAAAGCAUGGACAACUGGCUGAGUCGGCUGGACGGCUGCCGCUGACUGUAACAUGUAAAGCAGGCACUGAGCACCACCUGCCUGGCAGUCCAGGGCAUGGAGAGGCACAGACAGCACCCUGCUUGUGACUUCACUGGCCCAACUCAUCCUGGACCCCUUGAGCAAGACCAUGGCUGGAUUCCAGGAACUGGUGGAGUGGAAGUGGAUCCAGGAAAAUGCCGUGUGAAGGGAGGACUCAGAUGCACUCCCUGUGGUCUGGGCUCAACCAGCCAAAAGAGCAACAAAGACUCCAGAACCCACUCUACCUCCUCAAUCCCUUGGCCAUCUGUGGAGCCCCAGAGCCUGCGGCUGUGGCAAGGCCUGUUUCUGCGCUGGACCUGCUCACCUGAGCCUGCAGAAGCUGCAUGGGGGAAGAGUGUGGCAAAUAGUGACAGGAAGGGAGAAGACAGAAGCCUCUCAGCCAACUGCUUCAGCCGAGCCCCUAUUCUAAGCACUGGCUCCUUGGAUAGCAGCUGAGAUGUUCCUGAAACCUCUGCAGGCCCCUUAGGACCUUUACACCUUGGAUGAGGGUGCCUGCAACCCAGGUUAGCCAAAAGUACUGAGGGUCUUAAGUUUGAAGUGUCCAAAGUAUAGGGAGGUCUCAAUAAUAAAAGUCUCCAUGAUCAGCA
This is a long non-coding RNA of Homo sapiens (human), 1826 nucleotides long. NCBI's taxonomy places the organism in Eukaryota, Metazoa, Chordata, Mammalia, Primates, Hominidae. The record is from Ensembl.